UGUGUGUGUUUGUUUGUGUGUGUGUGUGUGUGUGUUUUACAUUCUCUUUAUCUAUUCAUUCAUGGCUAGGCAUCCAGUUUGAUUGUACAACCUGGCUGUAAUGGAUAGUGUCAAAAUAAACAUAAAUGUAAGGCAUCGCAGUAGUGAGCUGACUCUGGUUCUUUUGAGUGCAUAAUCAGAGUUGGUAUAACUCUGAAUCACAUGGUAGUUCUAUUUGCAAUCUUCUGACUAACUUCUUUACUAAUCAUAGUAUCCCCAAAUUUACAUUCCCACCAAUCCUAUCUAAGGGUUUCUUUCCCCCAUCCCAUCCUCAUCAAUAACUGUUACUUUUCUUUUCUUGAUGGCAGCCAUUCUUUUGGGGUGAGAUGCAAUCUCAAUGUAAUUUUAAUUUGUAUUUGCCUGAUGGCUAAAUAUGCUGAAAGUAGGAUAUAUUUUCUACUGAAAUUAUACACAGACACAUAGAAAUGAGAUUUUCUUAGUUCAUUCAAAAGGCAGAUUAAAGUUUCACCCUUAGAGUAAAACUCAAUAAAUCCUCCUUGUUCAGGUGUUGGUAAGUGUAUAACACAUAUAACAGGUAUCAUGGACUGGGGACAAACCAGAUCUGAGAUAAUGCCAAGUCUCAGGCCUAUGUUUAGUGCUAUUAACAUGGCUUCCAAAGCUAAAACCAUGCUUUUCAGACAACUGUCUCAAUCAUACAAAUUUAAGUAAAACAUAAAAAUCAAACAAAUCAAUGCAACCUAGUUGUAAUUUUUACCAAUGUCCAAAUCUCUAUCCAAAUACAAAUUUCAAAAGACAUAUGAAGAAUCACACAAACUAGUCUUCCUUUAAUUAUGUCCUUAAAGAGUGGUGGGUCCAAGAACUUAUUAUUGGUUGUGUUUUCUUGUACAAACUACACUUUGUAAAUUGUCUUCCUGUUCAGGAAAAGUCCUAUUAACUGACCUUCAACUGUCACUGGAUUGCAACUUUAUAUCUAUGUCAUUUCUUUAGGUUUACUGAAGCUUAACUACCAAAGCCAGUAUCAUAUUUUAGGUACUAUCUUAAAACAUUUAGUAAGCACAAUUGUAUCAGUGCGUGUUAAUUGUACAAACGAGCUCCAUUUGUGAUAUUUCCAUACACACAUACAAUGAUCCUUUAUCAAAUUAACCUCUCUCUUAAAUCCUUGUCUUAAUG
Long non-coding RNA from Perognathus longimembris pacificus (Pacific pocket mouse), 1170 nucleotides. RefSeq lists it as uncharacterized. The transcript has 3 exons. The record is from RefSeq and is a predicted model, not a curated record. NCBI's taxonomy places the organism in Eukaryota, Metazoa, Chordata, Mammalia, Rodentia, Heteromyidae.